This 968-nucleotide long non-coding RNA is filed under the name Oryctolagus cuniculus (rabbit). RNAcentral's name for it is "lncRNA (ENSOCUG00000035465.1)". Lineage: Eukaryota; Metazoa; Chordata; Mammalia; Lagomorpha; Leporidae. The record is from RNAcentral.
AUGGGGCCAGAGUCUGGGAUGGUCCCAGCAUCUGAUAUCGAUUCUUCCAGAAGAAGCUCCCCGCCCCUUGCCUCUGGACACCGAAUGCCGCUGGAGGUCUGCAAAUUGGAUCAGCCAGCAGAACUGCAGCGGAGCCCGGAAGCAAUGUUCCCGCUCACUUUUCCAGGAACAGCGUCCCGAGAAAGAAAGGGCUCCUGGGAUCUGUUUGCUGCGAAACAGCAAUGGCGAUGCUUUUUCGGCCAGAGGGCGGGCUGCCUUCUCAAACCCCUGUGUGUAUUCAAGCUUGCUUCUGGAAGGCUGAGUGAUGGAGGAUUUACUCAAAAACCGUCCUACCUGCAGCGGCUGCUGGUCGACGUUCCAGGCUCUCGGGACUCAGAGACGAGUAAAGCAGUGCCUCUUGGAGAAGUUUACAGCCUCGUAGAGCGAGACUCACCAACGGCCAAAGCCAGAAGCACAGGUGGUCCAUUGGCUUCCUGCGGCUCUGAGAGCCACACCUCAAAGCUCCUCUCGGGAAGAAGAAAACGGACUUGGAUAAUGUAACUGGACAUCAGUAUUGGAGCCACGAAAUGAUUGUUACGAGAAGCUACUUCCGCGGGGAGGGUGUGAUGGCCGAAGUGUCUAAGCCGCCAGCCGGGAUGCCCACAUCCCAGAAGGAAGUGCCUGGUUUGAGCUCUGCCUGGUCCACUUCCGACCCAGCUUCCUGCUUACUGUGCACCCUGGGAGGCAAUGGUGAUGGCCAAGUACUUAGCUCUGACACCCAUGUGGGAGACCUGGAUGGAAUUCUGGGCUCCUGGGUUUGGCCUGGGCCAGCACUGGUGUUGGAGGCAUUUUGGGGAGUGAACCAGCAGAUGGAAGAUCUCUUCUUCUCUUCUUGCUCUGCCUUUCAGGGAAAAAAAAAAGCUACUUUUCAUUUGGGAAAAGAUUCUAAAUAUAUGACCAGAAAAAUAAAAAUUUCACUGUCCUACUCA